Molecule: long non-coding RNA, 2681 nt
Filed under: Coffea arabica (coffee)
Lineage: Eukaryota; Viridiplantae; Streptophyta; Magnoliopsida; Gentianales; Rubiaceae
Description: long non-coding RNA (CARA_LNC007904)
Source: RNAcentral
GAAAAUAAACAACACAGUCACUUCAACUUAAUAUAUACAUUGAUACUCAAAAUCAGAUACAAAACUUCUACACACCAAAAUACUUCAAAAUUUUUACAAUUCGAGUACAAUCAACCCUAGUCGGGUACUAGCGUGAGUACAAUAUCAAAAGUCAAAAUAACUAGACUACGCUAGUCGGUAUACGUCUCACGCCUCGCUCGUACCCCCUGUAAGGAAAACAAAUGACGUGUAAUGAGCUAAAAACCCAGUGAGAUUCCAAAUAGCAAGUUAACCCUUAUUUAAAAAUGCAAGUAUCGCGUAGCAAAGUAAUGAGCAUGAAUAGUUCAUAAAAGUGAGCAAUAAUACUUCAAGUAGCAAAUCUCAAAGUGAGCGAGUGUAAAAGUUUUUCAAAAGAAACAAUAAUCCAAUAAACAAUAAUCACUCCAAAGUAUAAGGAUACGGAUGGCUCUCAGGAGCCAAAUUCCCAUUGCAUCACCAGAGUUUGAUCAAGUAAUAGUUGACAUUCCGUCAACCUUCAAGUAAGUAACCAAUCCAGUAGAGCACCACUUACACUACUCUCCGUCCACCAUUCACACCCCCUACUGGGCCUAAAAUCCUCAAUAAAUAUUGGUGGUAAUACUCGAGUAUACCGAUUAGUCGAGGAGAUAACACUACACUCGACAUCACUAACUACCCAUGGUUCGUUAUCUAAUCGACCAAACCCUUGCCGGCUCGACUCGAUUAACUAGCCAGUGGGGUUUGGGGUCCCCAAAAAAGUCGAUGAGGUAACACUCCAAUCGACUGAAUUAAAAUAAAAGUAUGGAGACGGGAAUGAGAGGCACCUCCCACUCGGAUAGAGUAUGGUACAUACUGCCGCUCCACACUUACAAAUCAAGUACAAGUAUAUCAAGUUAAUUGCAACAAUAAACAAGUAGAUAUCAUAUUAAGGCAAGUGCGAUAAAGUACACCCUUGUCCGAUCAAUAAAUUUCGUAUCAUGUAUUUUCAUGGAUCAAGUAUUAAAACAAGUGUCCAGUUCAACCAGAUAUUUGGAAGCACUCACCAAAAGAUGCGGUGCCUUUACAAGUUACGUUCGGGUAUUACUCCGUGUGUGUGGAGUUCAAAUCUGCGAUAAAACAUUGUUUAAGAGCUUUUGAAAGUAAUUAAGGUUCGAAACUUAAACGUUUCGUUUAACGAGAAUCACAUAAUUGAAAAUUAUUUGUAGAAUAUUUGUAAACUCAUGCUCGCUCUUAAAUUUUUCAAACUUGGAAACAACUAUACUUUGAAAUACCAUUUGGGUCGACGAAAUGGCGAAAAAAUAUUUCUAUUAGUCAUAAAUUUCAUUUUUUUCAAGAGUACAAGGUCGGCCAAGUUCUAACUUAUAUAUCUCGAUAAAAGAAGGUGCAAUAUCCUAGAUGGUUCAAGUGGCAUUCGCUCUCAAACCUUACUCAAGUCGCAAGCAUAUUUACCUAGUUUUCGAGCGUAAAUUUGGGCAGCACGCCCUUUGUAUUUACCUAUUUUCCAGCCAUUUAUGGCUUCAUUCUUUUCCUCAAUCAACCCAAAGUUACACACAACAUAAUCUCAUUUCAUUAGCCGUCCAAUAGGCUCAAGGUCAUACAAGUACAAAAUCAAGCUAAGAACAUGUGCGGAACUGAAGUUUAAGUUAGGAAACAAAAGGCAGAUUUGACGUUGUUUUGCGUAACGGACACAACCGGAGCUACGCUUAUCGGAUUAGGGUGAAACUUAUACCAUUUCGAAGCUAAGGCAGAGAGCUACAACUUUGAUGAAGAGAGCUACAACUUUGAUGAAGAUCACUCGGUCCAGUUCGUAGUGUAGCUAGGUCAAAAUUUCAAAUUAUAGAACCUGAAUCUCACACUCGGGCUACUUAACCGCACUAUACGUAAAUGACAAUAACUCAAGCUACCGAAGUCCAAUAAAGGUGAUUCCAAGGAUGUUGGAAAUUUACGACAUAGCACUACAACUUUCAUGUUUUGGGAAAAUGCUAAAUCAGUACGGAUCAUGGUGAACAGACACGGUUAGUAUUGCGAAAUAUCAAAAUUGUCCAUUGGACUAAACCUAUGAGAGUCAGGGGUAUUUUUGUCUUUUCAUAGGCUACGUUGCUCCGAUUGAGUUGAAAUUUUGUAAGCAACUAUAAAAUAUCAUUAUAUACAAUUUUCAUGUUUUAUACUAAGCCUAAUUCAGCCUCUAACAUACUGAAAUGGAACCGGGCAGAACUGAAGCUACAAUUUCCAGAAAUCUGGAAUUUUGCUACAUCAAGCUAUAAUUCACAUUUUUACCUUAAAACCACCACUACUUUCUCCUUUACAAGAUUAUAUACCAUAUAGAUACAUCAUACAACACCUAACCCACAAGAAACCCUAACUCAAAAGUCAUCCAUCUAAUCAUCAAAAUCACUUGGAACAAGCAUCACAAGUACAAUACUAACAUUAAUACCCAACUUAAUCAUGAUUAAUGGAGAAAGAAAGGUUGAUCAGCCAUUAUACCUCAAAACAAGAGCUUGCAAGAAUGAUCCUCCACCUUUCCUUGAAAUUUUUUGUUCCUUAAGCUUUCCAAGCUUCCAAACUAGUGAUUGAUCGGUUUAGCUUUUCUUGUUUGCACUAAAAAGGUUGGAUUCAAUGUUGAAGAUUGAAAACUCUCUUCACUCUCCUCCCUCUCCUUGCUCUCGACUGACCAGAAAAAAAAU